Molecule: long non-coding RNA, 823 nt
Organism: Dreissena polymorpha
Lineage: Eukaryota; Metazoa; Mollusca; Bivalvia; Myida; Dreissenidae
Exons: 3
Source: RefSeq, a predicted model, not a curated record
CAAAUAGUAUACAAACCACGAUUUGUACAAUUACAAUUUAAAUAACGAAAUUAAGGAAAUAUCGAUAUUAAUUGAUGUAGCUUUUCUUUAUUAGUGAUACGGAACAUAUUUGAGAUUUUUUUAUUUUCUGACUGCCAAGGAAUACGCUUCAGUUAUUAUACGUCGGUAAAUGCACGUGUAUAUUAAAAUAGAGAGAGGGCGUGAUACACAAUCAGCUGUGUUGUGUUUACAUUUUGUUACUGGUUCCACGCAUAUUGAGACACUUACCUUGGUAUUUAAUAUAAUUGGGAACUAAAUCGCCCAGCCAAUCAAAUGUCGCGUUACAAUUAUUUGUGUCUGCAUAUGGCUGCCGGAAAAUCUUCAAUAACGUAACGAAACUUGUUGUUAGUCGAUUUCUUAACUAAAAAGGCUGGAAUUACAGCACGAUCGGUGUUAGAUGUAAUGCAUUGAAGUUCAUGUUCAAAAUAAACACAGACCUGGGACAUCCAUUAUCUAAUCGUCUGGUGCUGAAAUGUGGUAAUAUCCAGGUUAUCCGAAGAAUAAACGAGUGCUUGUUUGUUAGCGUAUACAACCCGUCAGAAUAAAUGAGCAUUGUUUUUUUCCUCAUUGGCAUGACAUUUUACCCAGCAGUGGGAAUCUCGUCUUUUUCCGGGACAGAGUUUUCACAAAAAUUCUCCUUAUCAGGAGAAGUGACCAACACUCGGCACCACAUUCCUCAUGGUGUCCUUUUCGAGUAUGUCUCAUGUCCACACUUCUUGAUGGCGAUCCUCAUCUUCCUGUCGUUCUCUUUAAUGAGUGGUCUCCAGAACACAAAGCUGAUGUG